Taeniopygia guttata (zebra finch) is the source of this 963-nucleotide non-coding RNA. Lineage: Eukaryota; Metazoa; Chordata; Aves; Passeriformes; Estrildidae. The record is from RefSeq and is a predicted model, not a curated record.
CGGGGCCGGCAGCUUUACCGGGAGCCGUGGGACCGGGCGGCCGAGCCGUGACCGUGACCGUGACCGAGCGCAGGGGCCAAGUGGCGGAUCGGACCCUCCGGCAACGAAACCCGGUACCGGCGCCGAGCCUCAGGGGAACGGCGGCUCCGUCCGGGGCUCGGUCUGCGGGAACACCGCCUGUACCGGCGGGGUCCGAAGAACCGGCCCCACAUCUCCCGGGCUCGGCCGAACCGGGAGGAAGGGCGGAAACCGACAGCCAGCACGGCACCCCCGGGAAUGAAAAAAUCCGUUCCUCGGUUGGAGAGACGGACACGGACGGACAGAUCGAGUGUCCGGGAUUAACGGAAAAUCCCUCACACGGAGGGACACACGGACAAGCAUGAAAAAAACCGUUACCGGGACGGACAGACCGAAAAAGGCUCCGGUAAUUAAAGCAAAAAAACAAUUAACGUCCCUUACUGAGACGGACAGAGAAUCUCCGUGAUUAACGUGGAAAAAAACAAAUAUUACCGGGACAGACAGAACGACAGUGACGGCAGAGCAGCGUGCCGGUAAUUAACGGAUACGAUUGUGCACAACGCGGCUCACGCCGGUAACGAAAAACCCUUCGGACAGACGGACACGGACACGGAUCAGCCCUCCCGUGAGUAACCGAACCUCCGUUACCGACCGGAGAGAUGAACGAAAAUGGAGCCGCACUCCGGUAAUUAACGGGUAAAAAAAAAAUUCCUAAUUACGGAGAGGUGCUCCGGUAAUUAAGGAACCAUAGCGGGCAGAGACGGACAGACAGAGCAGCGAUCCCGUGAUUAACGAAUAAAGCAAUUCGUUAACGGGCGGACAGACGAACAGAACGAGGACGUCUCGGCCUCCCGGUUUUAAGGUCCGUCCCCACCGGGCGCUUCGGGCCCGCGCCCUCCGUGCAGGAAACGUCGCAAAUCCCGGACCGCGUUCACGGCGCAGCAG